UUAAGCGACUAAGCGUACACGGUGGAUGCCCUGGCAGUCAGAGGCGAUGAAGGACGUGCUAAUCUGCGAAAAGCGUCGGUAAGGUGAUAUGAACCGUUACAGCCGGCGAUGUCCGAAUGGGGAAACCCAGUGUGAUUCGUCACACUAUCGUUAACUGAAUACAUAGGUUAACGAGGCGAACCGGGGGAACUGAAACAUCUAAGUACCCCGAGGAAAAGAAAUCAACCGAGAUUCCCCCAGUAGCGGCGAGCGAACGGGGAGCAGCCCAGAGUCUGAAUCAGCUUGUGUGUUAGUGGAACGGUCUGGAAAGUCCGACGGUACAGGGUGAUAGUCCCGUACACCAAAAUGCACAGGUUGUGAACUCGAAGAGUAGGGCGGGACACGUGGUAUCCUGUCUGAAUAUGGGGGGACCAUCCUCCAAGGCUAAAUACUCCUGACUGACCGAUAGUGAACCAGUACCGUGAGGGAAAGGCGAAAAGAACCCCGGCGAGGGGAGUGAAAAAGAACCUGAAACCGUGUACGUACAAGCAGUGGGAGCACCCUUUAGGGUGUGACUGCGUACCUUUUGUAUAAUGGGUCAGCGACUUAUAUUCUGUAGCAAGGUUAACCGUAUAGGGGAGCCGCAGGGAAACCGAGUCUUAACUGGGCGUUAAGUUGCAGGGUAUAGACCCGAAACCCGGUGAUCUAGCCAUGGGCAGGUUGAAGGUUGGGUAACACUAACUGGAGGACCGAACCGACUAAUGUUGAAAAAUUAGCGGAUGACUUGUGGCUGGGGGUGAAAGGCCAAUCAAACCGGGAGAUAGCUGGUUCUCCCCGAAAGCUAUUUAGGUAGCGCCUCGUGAAUUCAUCUUCGGGGGUAGAGCACUGUUUCGGCUAGGGGGUCAUCCCGACUUACCAACCCGAUGCAAACUACGAAUACCGAAGAAUGUUAUCACGGGAGACACACGGCGGGUGCUAACGUCCGUCGUGAAGAGGGAAACAACCCAGACCGCCAGCUAAGGUCCCAAAGUCAUGGUUAAGUGGGAAACGAUGUGGGAAGGCACAGACAGCCAGGAUGUUGGCUUAGAAGCAGCCAUCAUUUAAAGAAAGCGUAAUAGCUCACUGGUCGAGUCGGCCUGCGCGGAAGAUGUAACGGGGCUAAACCAUGCACCGAAGCUGCGGCAGCGACGCUUAUGCGUUGUUGGGUAGGGGAGCGUUCUGUAAGCCUGCGAAGGUGGCCUGUGAGGGCUGCUGGAGGUAUCAGAAGUGCGAAUGCUGACAUAAGUAACGAUAAAGCGGGUGAAAAGCCCGCUCGCCGGAAGACCAAGGGUUCCUGUCCAACGUUAAUCGGGGCAGGGUGAGUCGACCCCUAAGGCGAGGCCGAAAGGCGUAGUCGAUGGGAAACAGGUUAAUAUUCCUGUACUUGGUGUUACUGCGAAGGGGGGACGGAGAAGGCUAUGUUAGCCGGGCGACGGUUGUCCCGGUUUAAGCAUGUAGGCGGAGGUUCCAGGUAAAUCCGGUACCUUUUAACGCUGAGAUGUGAUGACGAGGCACUACGGUGCUGAAGUAACAAAUGCCCUGCUUCCAGGAAAAGCCUCUAAGCAUCAGGUAACAUCAAAUCGUACCCCAAACCGACACAGGUGGUCAGGUAGAGAAUACCAAGGCGCUUGAGAGAACUCGGGUGAAGGAACUAGGCAAAAUGGUGCCGUAACUUCGGGAGAAGGCACGCUGGUGUGUAGGUGAAGUCCCUGCGGACGGAGCUGAGACCAGUCGAAGAUACCAGCUGGCUGCAACUGUUUAUUAAAAACACAGCACUGUGCAAACACGAAAGUGGACGUAUACGGUGUGACGCCUGCCCGGUGCCGGAAGGUUAAUUGAUGGGGUUAUCCGUAAGGAGAAGCUCUUGAUCGAAGCCCCGGUAAACGGCGGCCGUAACUAUAACGGUCCUAAGGUAGCGAAAUUCCUUGUCGGGUAAGUUCCGACCUGCACGAAUGGCGUAAUGAUGGCCAGGCUGUCUCCACCCGAGACUCAGUGAAAUUGAACUCGCUGUGAAGAUGCAGUGUACCCGCGGCAAGACGGAAAGACCCCGUGAACCUUUACUAUAGCUUGACACUGAACAUUGAGCCUUGAUGUGUAGGAUAGGUGGGAGGCUUUGAAGCGUGGACGCCAGUCUGCGUGGAGCCAACCUUGAAAUACCACCCUUUAAUGUUUGAUGUUCUAACGUUGGCCCCUUAUCGGGGUUGCGGACAGUGUCUGGUGGGUAGUUUGACUGGGGCGGUCUCCUCCCAAAGAGUAACGGAGGAGCACGAAGGUUAGCUAAUCCUGGUCGGACAUCAGGAGGUUAGUGCAAUGGCAUAAGCUAGCUUGACUGCGAGCGUGACGGCGCGAGCAGGUGCGAAAGCAGGUCAUAGUGAUCCGGUGGUUCUGAAUGGAAGGGCCAUCGCUCAACGGAUAAAAGGUACUCCGGGGAUAACAGGCUGAUACCGCCCAAGAGUUCAUAUCGACGGCGGUGUUUGGCACCUCGAUGUCGGCUCAUCACAUCCUGGGGCUGAAGUAGGUCCCAAGGGUAUGGCUGUUCGCCAUUUAAAGUGGUACGCGAGCUGGGUUUAGAACGUCGUGAGACAGUUCGGUCCCUAUCUGCCGUGGGCGCUGGAGAAUUGAGGGGGGCUGCUCCUAGUACGAGAGGACCGGAGUGGACGCAUCACUGGUGUUCGGGUUGUCAUGCCAAUGGCACUGCCCGGUAGCUAAAUGCGGAAGAGAUAAGUGCUGAAAGCAUCUAAGCACGAAACUUGCCCCGAGAUGAGUUCUCCCUGAGACUAUAAGUCUCCUGAAGGAACGUUAAAGACGAUGACGUUGAUAGGCCGGGUGUGUAAGCGCAGCGAUGCGUUGAGCUAACCGGUACUAAUGAACCGUGAGGCUUAACCUU
RNAcentral lists this ribosomal RNA (2905 nucleotides) under Klebsiella variicola. RNAcentral's name for it is "bacterial LSU rRNA". It matches the Rfam family "Bacterial large subunit ribosomal RNA". Lineage: Bacteria; Pseudomonadati; Pseudomonadota; Gammaproteobacteria; Enterobacterales; Enterobacteriaceae. The record is from RNAcentral.